RNAcentral lists this ribosomal RNA (468 nucleotides) under uncultured bacterium. RNAcentral's name for it is "partial 16S ribosomal RNA". It matches the Rfam family "Bacterial small subunit ribosomal RNA", at positions 28 to 507 of the family's 1533-position model. The record is from RNAcentral.
GACGAACGCUGGCGGCGUGCUUAACACAUGCAAGUCGAACGGAAAGGCCCUGCUUUUGUGGGGUGCUCGAGUGGCGAACGGGUGAGUAACACGUGAGUAACCUGCCCUUGACUUUGGGAUAACUUCAGGAAACUGGGGCUAAUACCGGAUAGGAGCUCCUGCCGCAUGGUGGGGGUUGGAAAGUUUCGGCGGUUGGGGAUGGACUCGCGGCUUAUCAGCUUGUUGGUGGGGUAGUGGCUUACCAAGGCUUUGACGGGUAGCCGGCCUGGGAGGGUGACCGGCCACAUUGGGACUGAGAUACGGCCCAGACUCCUACGGGAGGCAGAAGUGGGGAAUAUUGCACAAUGGGCGGAAGCCUGAUGCAGCAACGCCGCGUGCGGGAUGACGGCCUUCGGGUUGUAAACCGCUUUCGCCUGUGACGAAGCGUGAGUGACGGUAAUGGGUAAAGAAGCACCGGCUAACUACGUG